GUUUUUGCCAUUGUGACUCUCACUGGAUC
This 29-nucleotide non-coding RNA is filed under the name Mus musculus (house mouse). Lineage: Eukaryota; Metazoa; Chordata; Mammalia; Rodentia; Muridae. The record is from RNAcentral.